Molecule: unclassified non-coding RNA, 293 nt
Filed under: Glomus sp.
Lineage: Eukaryota; Fungi; Glomeromycota; Glomeromycetes; Glomerales; Glomeraceae
Description: partial contains 5.8S ribosomal RNA, internal transcribed spacer 2, and large subunit ribosomal RNA
Rfam family: 5.8S ribosomal RNA (bases 1-71)
Source: RNAcentral
GUGAAUCAUCGAAUCUUUGAACGCAAAUUGCACUUUCUGGUAUUCCGGAGAGCAUGCCCGUUUCAGGGUCAGUAAAAUCAUCAUCGAUGUUGUUGCUGCUUUUCAUGGUGCCUCGUCGGAAUUUAGUUGUUUUACCUUCGGUUAAGUGACUUACAAUUUUGCAUGCUUUUCGUACGUAUUUAAAUUUCUUACGUACGUUUGAGAUAUCGAAUACUUUAUUAGGUUCGAUCAUCCUCAUGAUUCGCACCUAUAAUUUUUCAUUAAAUGACCUCAACUCAGGUAAGAAUACCCGC